GGGAUCCCUCGCGGGUGCACCGC
RNAcentral lists this small nuclear RNA (23 nucleotides) under Arabidopsis thaliana (thale cress). Its description in RNAcentral is "snRNA_16141". The record is from RNAcentral. Lineage: Eukaryota; Viridiplantae; Streptophyta; Magnoliopsida; Brassicales; Brassicaceae.